Molecule: non-coding RNA, 26 nt
Filed under: Rattus norvegicus (Norway rat)
Lineage: Eukaryota; Metazoa; Chordata; Mammalia; Rodentia; Muridae
Source: RNAcentral
UUUGCCAACUGCUUAAGAUCCCCUAG